ACUGGAAAGUGUAUCUAGGAUUA
RNAcentral lists this ribosomal RNA (23 nucleotides) under Ilyoplax orientalis. Its description in RNAcentral is "partial 12S ribosomal RNA". Lineage: Eukaryota; Metazoa; Arthropoda; Malacostraca; Decapoda; Dotillidae. The record is from RNAcentral.